Molecule: ribosomal RNA, 486 nt
Filed under: uncultured bacterium
Lineage: Bacteria
Description: partial 16S ribosomal RNA
Rfam family: Bacterial small subunit ribosomal RNA
Source: RNAcentral
AUUGAACGCUGGCGACAUGCCUUACACAUGCAAGUCGAACGGCAGCACGGGUGCUUGCACCUGUUGGCGAGUGGCGAACGGGUGAGUAAUACAUCGGAACAUGUCCUGUAGUGGGGGAUAGCCCGGCGAAAGCCGGAUUAAUACCGCAUACGAUCUACGGAUGAAAGCGGGGGACCUUCGGGCCUCGCGCUAUAGGGUUGGCCUAUGGCUGAUUAGCUAGUUGGUGGGGUAAAGGCCUACCAAGGCGACGAUCAGUAGCUGGUCUGAGAGGACGACCAGUCACACUGGGACUGAGACACGGCCCAGACUCCUACGGGAGGCAGCAGUGGGGAAUUUUGGACAAUGGGCGAAAGCCUGAUCCAGCAAUGCCGGGUGUGUGAAGAAGGCCUUCGGGUUGUAAAGCACUUUUGUCCGGAAAGAAAUCCUUGGCCCUAAUACGGUCGGGGGAUGACGGUACCGGAAGAAUAAGCACCGGCUAACUACGUG